GAAAGCGUAAUAGCUCACUAGUCGAGUCGGCCUGCGCGGAAGAUGUAACGGGGCUAAAACUAUAUGCCGAAGCUGCGGAUUUGCAAUUUAUUGCAAGUGGUAGGGGAGCGUUCUGUAAGCCGAUGAAGGUGGAUUGAGAAGUCUGCUGGAGGUAUCAGAAGUGCGAAUGCUGACGUGAGUAACGACAAAGCGGGUGAAAAACCCGCUCGCUGAAAGACCAAGGGUUCCAGUCCAACGUUAAUCGGGGCUGGGUGAGUCGACCCCUAAGGCGAGGCCGAGAGGCGUAGUCGAUGGGAAAUUGGUUAAUAUUCCAAUACUUCUGUGUAAUGCGAUGAGAGGACGGAGAAGGUUAAGUCAGCCUGGCGUUGGUUGUCCAGGUGGAAGGUUGUAGGCAUGUAUCUUAGGCAAAUCCGGGGUACUCUAUGCUGAGAACUGAUAGCAAGCUGUACUUGUACAGUGAAGUGGCUGAUACCAUGCUUCCAGGAAAAGUCUCUAAGCUUCAGUUACACAGGAAUCGUACCCGAAACCGACACAGGUGGUCAGGUCGAGUAGACCAAAGCGCUUGAGAGAACUCUGCUGAAGGAACUAGGCAAAAUGGUACCGUAACUUCGGGAGAAGGUACGCUGCCGGCGGUGAUAGGACUUGCUCCUUGAGCUGUUGGCAGCCUCAGAAACCAGGCCCCUGCAACUGUUUAUUAAAAACAUAGCACUCUGCAAACACGAAAGUGGACGUAUAGGGUGUGAUGCCUGCCCGGUGCUGGAAGGUUAAUUGAUGGGGUUAGCGUAAGCGAAGCUCUUGAUCGAAGCCCCAGUAAACGGCGGCCGUAACAAUAACGGUCCUAAGGUAGCGAAAUUCCUUGUCGGGUAAGUUCCGACCUGCACGAAUGGCAUAAUGAUGGCGGCGCUGUCUCCAGCAGAGGCUCAGUGAAAUCGAAAUCGCUGUGAAGAUGCAGUGUACCCGCGGCUAGACGGAAAGACCCCGUGAACCUUUACUGCAGCUUGACAUUGAACUUUGAUCUUACUUGUGUAGGAUAGGUGGGAGGCUUUGAAGUGGCGACGCUAGUUGCCAUGGAGCCGUCCUUGAAAUACCACCCUGGUAAUAUUGAGGUUCUAACUCUGUCCCGUUAUCCGGGACGAGGACCAUGUCUGGUGGGUAGUUUGACUGGGGCGGUCUCCUCCUAAAGAGUAACGGAGGAGUACGA
RNAcentral lists this ribosomal RNA (1201 nucleotides) under human gut metagenome. RNAcentral describes it as "bacterial LSU rRNA". It matches the Rfam family "Bacterial large subunit ribosomal RNA", at positions 1128 to 2313 of the family's 2925-position model. The record is from RNAcentral.